This 421-nucleotide ribosomal RNA is filed under the name uncultured bacterium. RNAcentral describes it as "bacterial SSU rRNA". It matches the Rfam family "Bacterial small subunit ribosomal RNA", at positions 355 to 787 of the family's 1533-position model. The record is from RNAcentral.
UGGGGAAUAUUGCACAAUGGGCGAAAGCCUGAUGCAGCGACGCCGCGUGGGGGAUGACGGCCUUCGGGUUGUAAACCCCUUUCGGCAGGGGACAAGCCUUCGGGUGAGGGUACCUGCGGAAGAAGCGCCGGCUAACUACGUGCCAGCAGCCGCGGUAAUACGUAGGGCGCGAGCGUUAUCCGGAAUUAUUGGGUUUAAAGGGAGCGCAGGCCGCCCUUAAAGCGUGUUGUGAAAUGCCGCGGCUCAACCGUGGCACUGCAGCGCGAACUGGGGGGCUUAGUGCGCCGGAGGUAGGCGGAAUUCGUGGUGUAGCGGUGAAAUGCUUAGAUAUCACGAAGAACUCCGAUUGCGAAGGCAGCCUACCGUAGCGUUACUGACGCUGAGGCUCGAAGGUGCGGGUAUCGAACAGGAUUAGAUACCC